CCUACGGGAGGCAGCAGUGGGGAAUAUUGGACAAUGGGCGAAAGCCUGAUCCAGCAAUGCCGCGUGAGUGAUGAAGGCCUUAGGGUUGUAAAGCUCUUUUACCAGGGAUGAUAACGACAGUACCUGGAGAAUAAGCUCCGGCUAACUCCGUGCCAGCAGCCGCGGUAAUACGGAGGGAGCUAGCGUUGUUCGGAAUUACUGGGCGUAAAGCGUACGUAGGCGGUUAUUCAAGUCAGAGGUGAAAGCCUGGAGCUCAACUCCAGAACUGCCUUUGAAACUAGAUAGCUAGAAUCUUGGAGAGGUGAGUGGAAUUCCGAGUGUAGAGGUGAAAUUCGUAGAUAUUCGGAAGAACACCAGUGGCGAAGGCGACUCACUGGACAAGUAUUGACGCUGAGGUACGAAAGCGUGGGGAGCAAACAGGAUUAGAUACCCUGGUAGUCCACGCCGUAAACGAUGAUAACUAGCUGUUCGGGCUCUACGAGCUUGAGUGGCGCAGCUAACGCAUUAAGUUAUCCGCCUGGGGAGUACGGUCGCAAGAUUAAAACUUAAAGAUAGUAGACGUGAGAGAGNGACGAGACACAGGAGGUAGAG
This 591-nucleotide ribosomal RNA is filed under the name uncultured bacterium. RNAcentral describes it as "bacterial SSU rRNA". It matches the Rfam family "Bacterial small subunit ribosomal RNA", at positions 338 to 946 of the family's 1533-position model. The record is from RNAcentral.